AUGGUCGCGGUCAUCGUUUCCUGCUCCCCGGAAAGCUCCGGCUCCGGCUGCCGUAAACAUAUCCCACGCCUCGAUCGCGGCGGCCGUGUCAGCGGGGCGAUUGGGCUACCUGGAUCCGGUGAAUCUCGGGGGCGGGAGAGAACGGGAUGGCGAAUACGUUUUGUUAUUCCGCGGCCAGCCACGCCGCGCCAAGCCGGCCGUCAGAGCGGAUCACGUGUCCAGGGCUCCAAAGGAUACUGGAUAGUGGAUACGGCUCUACGCCAUGUAGCUGUAUUGGUUUUGCUUUUGUUUUUGUACACUUAUCAGUUUCUCUGUCAGAGUAUACUUGUGUAG
RNAcentral lists this ribosomal RNA (333 nucleotides) under Triticum aestivum (bread wheat). RNAcentral describes it as "partial small subunit ribosomal RNA". The record is from RNAcentral. Lineage: Eukaryota; Viridiplantae; Streptophyta; Magnoliopsida; Poales; Poaceae.